GGAUGCUCCUUUUCCCGCCGCCUUUCUAACAACUAGAAAUGUUUUGAUGUAUCGUUGGUCCGGCGUACGACGGCGCCUGAUGCGAUUUAUGCGUCCGGAAGCCCUUUCAGCCUCCAGGCAUGUCCCCACCUGCCUCACAGCCACCGACGCAUCUCACGGCGGGGUUCGAAUUGCGUGCGCGUAUGAAGUCUCCUACUCCUGCCGCUUUUCUAACAACUAGUUAAUGUUAUGAUGCAUCGUUGGUCCGGCGUACGACGGCGCCUGGUGCGAUUUAUGCGUCCGGAAGCCCUUUCAGCCUCCCAGGCAUGUCCCCACCUGCCUCACAGCCACCGACGCAUCUCACGGGGGGGGUCUAAUUGCGUGCGCGUAUGGAUGCUCCUUUCCCCGCCGCCUUUCUAACAACUAGAAAUGUUUUGAUGCAUCGUUGGUCCGGCGUACGACGGCGCCUGAUGCGAUUUAUGCGUCCGGAAGCCCUUUCAGCCUCCAGGCAUGUCCCCACCUGCCUCACAGCCACCGACGCAUCUCACGGCGGGGUUCGAAUUGCGUGCGCGUAUGAAGUCUCCUACUCCUGCCGCUUUUCUAACAACUAGUUAAUGUUAUGAUGCAUCGUUGGUCCGGCGUACGACGGCGCCUGGUGCGAUUUAUGCGUCCGGAAGCCCUUUCAGCCUCCCAGGCAUGUCCCCACCUGCCUCACAGCCACCGACGCAUCUCACGGGGGGGGUCUAAUUGCGUGCGCGUAUGGAUGCUCCUUUCCCCGCCGCCUUUCUAACAACUAGAAAUGUUUUGAUGUAUCGUUGGUCCGGCGUACGACGGCGCCUGAUGCGAUUUAUGCGUCCGGAAGCCCUUUCAGCCUCCAGGCAUGUCCCCACCUGCCUCACAGCCACCGACGCAUCUCACGGCGGGGUUCGAAUUGCGUGCGCGUAUGAAGUCUCCUACUCCUGCCGCUUUUCUAACAACUAGUUAAUGUUAUGAUGCAUCGUUGGUCCGGCGUACGACGGCGCCUGGUGCGAUUUAUGCGUCCGGAAGCCCUUUCAGCCUCCAGGCAUGUCCCCACCUA
RNAcentral lists this long non-coding RNA (1057 nucleotides) under Volvox carteri. Its description in RNAcentral is "long non-coding RNA (VCAR_LNC004166)". Lineage: Eukaryota; Viridiplantae; Chlorophyta; Chlorophyceae; Chlamydomonadales; Volvocaceae. The record is from RNAcentral.